RNAcentral lists this long non-coding RNA (3233 nucleotides) under Triticum aestivum (bread wheat). Its description in RNAcentral is "long non-coding RNA (TAES_LNC010216)". Lineage: Eukaryota; Viridiplantae; Streptophyta; Magnoliopsida; Poales; Poaceae. The record is from RNAcentral.
ACCAAUUCAUCCACGCGAUCUCUCUGCAUCCCCGCUCCACUUCGUGCCCUAGGCCUAAUCGCCGCACCGGCGAUGACGGUGAGUGAUGCUUUGGGUUGCUGCCACCAGCCCUACUGCUCCCGGUCCCUUUGGUAGAUAUCACCGCAACCGCUCUCGUUCAUCCUAUUUUUUGACCCGUUUUCCUUAAUCCUAUCAACAGUGCCACUCAAUAUCUCGGCCACCGCAAAAGAUUGCUAGGUUUGGAGAUGGGAUUUCAGGUGCUAAUGUCUUUCGGAUCUCAAUUUUGUACAGGUUGUGUUCAUCAAGGUUCCAGUCAACUGAUUUGGGCAAAUCUUGGAGGUUGGUACUCAUCGAGCCGCCGAUCUUCAAUCUGAUCCAUUCAAGUCAGGCUUGACUGAUUGAUGCAGGGCGAAUCAAGGCGGGCCUGACUGAUUGAUGCAGGGCGAAGCAAGGCCGGGGUCAAUUUUUGUUGGUUCUAUCGGUAACGGCCUCGCUCGACACUUCCUUGGCGUUGACACUUACAUGCGGUGGAUUUUCACGCCCCUACGCCCCUUCUUCACUGGACAAUAAUACAAAGGGUAUUCCAAAUUUCCAUCUUUGCUCCUCCUCCAUGCUUUGUUCCCCCUUUUCGAGUGUUUGUAUUUUGCAACUUAAUUUCUUGUUUAUAUGGUUUAACAUGGAUUGAUUGGUCGAGGAGAGUACGGCAACAAGAUAUGGUGCUAGAGAUAUGGAUUUCCCAGGGAGUCAGCUCGAUGUAGUGUAGUAACCUCGGCUUACCUUAUCUUCGCGGCCUCUGAAUGCCGUUACAAUUUGAAAAUAAGGAUCCUUGAUUAUAUUGCUAUGUUUUCAUACACGGCUGUAUCUUCCGAAACCUGUGCUGGAUGCUUCGGGCGUUUGUGUUCCUCAAUGAGAAAUCGUUCCAUGCACCUGACAAUAGUGAGAACAGACUUCAGAACUUAUGUUAGAACAGUCCUGACUGGAACAGACUUAACUAAACUCUUAGCCUGAUAUGUAAUUCGUGGUAAAACCUUAGCUUCUUCUGGUUUUUUAAUAACUGUCUUGGCUCUGUUUUGCUUUGGAGCCACCCGGUAGUUCUAUGUUGCUGCACAGAUGCACCAUGCUUUUUAGGACUAACCUUUUUUCAUCAUAUCAAUUCUUCUGGAUGAUGUUCUAUUUGCUCAUUUUUAAACUCAUGGAAUGAAAAAAAUAUAUUCUCAAAUCCAAUUUUAAAACUGGAUAUGUUAGGUUUACAAGUAUGCAAUCCUGCAUUAAGGUAGUUUUUAAUGCGAUAAAUUUCCUCCUGCUCUCUUUACAAGUAUGCAAGGCUCAUAUCUCAAGUAUGGUCGAAGCAUUGCUGUUAGGCAAGGUGGUUAAUCGUGUCCAGAUUAUUGAUGAGUGGUUCUCAUCCUUUACUGUAGCUUCACCAAAGUUGUAUUGUUGCAUGCUUGCAGAUACGCGUAGUUUCAGUUUGACUUGUGAUAUUGAUAUUUUAUCAAAAAUAAUUCCAUACAUGAUGCAAAAAGAUCAUUCGGAAGUGAGCACGUUCCAUGUAAUCUGGGUGGCACUCACCCAUAUAUUCUAUGUACAGAACUCUCCGUUUGCACAACAUUAGAACAUUGGUAACAUAUUUUUACUCUGGUAUUCACUAAAGCUUGUACCAAACAAUCAUGGUGUGUUCCAUAGAUCGUUUUCUUCACAUCUAUGGGUUUCCAAGAUCCAAUCUUCUCCAGCAAAUAUAAUUGACCAUUACGCCCAUCAUUUUUAUGCAUCAAAACUUAGAUUGAGCAAUGGCACUACAUUACAUACACAACUUCUUUACUCUUCAUAGUAUUACUACAAAUUUUAUCAUGUAUCUUUAUGUUUCUUUGAAAAUGACUUCUAUCAUAUCAUGUAUCUUUAUGUUUCUUCGAAAAUUACUUCCUAUCAUAUCUCUUAGUAUACUUAUAAAAGUACCUACCAUUCUAUUCAAAAAAUAGACGGGCGCGGCAACGCGUGCCUUCGAUGAUCUAGUGUUCCUUGAAUUUUGUGUUCCUAACACGGUCGGGGUUUAUGGGCCCCCUUGUUUCUUUGUUUAAAGUAAAGCUAUCCUGAGGAGAUCCAACAUUGGUUUUACCAUUUGCCUAAUAACAACUAAAACUUGCAUAGGGGCCGGUUAGCACCCGAGGUCUCUUAGUCAACCCCCGAGCCAGUGCUCCUCAUGAGUGCUGGUCCACCAACCUAGCAGUCGGCGGUGCCGCCUCGGGGCAACUCGAGGUGUUUUGGCUAUCGUCCACUAUGCAUAGAUGGAUGAGUCCAUAGAUAGAGAGCGCGCGGCUCUGGACACGGAUCUGACUCACCGGGAGAUCUCCUUGGGAUAGUUUUCCUUUCUUCGAAGAGCUUGUGCACCGGGGUUCCGAGGUUACUCGGGGUGUCCCGAGAUGGAGGAUUGUCUCCGCGGAUCAUGAGAGCUGAUUGUCUCCGCGGAUCAUGAGAGCUUAUCAUGGGCUAAGUUGGGACACCCAUGCAAAGUUUAAACUUUCGAGAGUCGGGCCCGCGGUUAUUUGGUAGAUGGGAAUUUGUUAAUAUCCGGUUAUAUAGGACUUGAACUAAACUCAAUUAAAAUACACCUACCGCAUGCGUAACUGUGACUGUCUCUUUUCGGGUGUGUUCGAGAAGAGAACACGGUUGGGUUAUGUUUGAACGUAAGUAGUUCAGGAUCACUUAUUGAUCAUUACUAGUUUGCGACCGUUUACGUAGCUUUUCAUCUUACUCUUGUAUUUGUAAGUUAGCCACCAUACAAUGCUUAGCCGCUUGCUGCAACCUCACCACUUAUCCAUUCCAUACCCAUUAAGCUUUGCUAGUAUUGAUAUCCAUGGUAAUGGGAUUGCUGAGUCCUCGUGGCUCACAUAUUACUACAACAACAGUUGCAGGUACAGGCAAAGCGAUGCUUUGACGUGAGAGCGAUGCUUGCUUGUCUUGGAGUUCUUCUUCUGCUUCUUCUUCUUCGAUCAAGGGAUAGGUUCCGGGUCGGGGAGCCUGGGAUUAGCAGGGUGGAUGUCAUUCUUCUUUUCGUUUGUUUUCAUCCGUAGUCGGAUCCUGCUCUUUUGUAUGAUUAUUGUUAUGUAUUGAUGAACUGUUGUAUUCAUGUUGUAGCUUGUGGCGAGUGUAAGCCUUUAACUUGUAUUCUCAUCUAUUCAGUACAUGGUAUGUUGUAAUGAUAUCCACCUUGCUAUGCGCUCGAAAUACGAUUGUGC